This 637-nucleotide ribosomal RNA is filed under the name Aptenocanthon winyar. Its description in RNAcentral is "eukaryotic LSU rRNA". It matches the Rfam family "Eukaryotic large subunit ribosomal RNA", at positions 671 to 1265 of the family's 3401-position model. Lineage: Eukaryota; Metazoa; Arthropoda; Insecta; Coleoptera; Scarabaeidae. The record is from RNAcentral.
GAGUCUAGCAUGUGCGCGAGUCAUUGGGACUCGAUUAAACCUAAAGGCGCAAUGAAAGUAAAGGUCCGCCUCGCGCGGACCGAGGGAGGAUGGGCCGGCCCCGGUGCCGGCCCCGCACUCCCGGGGCGUCUCGUUCUCAUCGCGAGAAGAGGCGCACCCAGAGCGUACACGCUGGGACCCGAAAGAUGGUGAACUAUGCCUGGUCAGGACGAAGUCAGGGGAAACCCUGAUGGAGGUCCGUAGCGAUUCUGACGUGCAAAUCGAUCGUCGGAACUGGGUAUAGGGGCGAAAGACUAAUCGAACCUUCUAGUAGCUGGUUCCCUCCGAAGUUUCCCUCAGGAUAGCUGGCGCUCGCCUUUGCGAGUCUCAUUCGGUAAAGCGAAUGAUUAGAGGCAUUGGGGUCGAAACGGCCUCAACCUAUUCUCAAACUUUAAAUGGGUGAGAUCUCCGGCUUGCUUAAAGCAUGAAGCCGCGAGAGAUCGGAUCACAGAGUGCCAAGUGGGCCACUUUUGGUAAGCAGAACUGGCGCUGUGGGAUGAACCAAACGCAGAGUUAAAGCGCCCAAAUCGACGCUUAUGGGAUACCAUGAAAGGCGUUGGUAACUUAAGACAGCAGGACGGUGGCCAUGGAAGUCGGA